AUGCAAGGAGAAGGGGAAGAAGGAGAGGAAAGAGCUCUGCAUGCAAAAUGUCUCCUGAACAAGACCAGGAACCUCCUGCUUGGAACAGAAGCCUCCUCUGACCCAGCUGCAUGCUGCUGCCAUUGGAAUGAUGUGGGAUACCGAGUGCUGUAUACAUUUCUGCCUAGCAAAAUCUGUUUAGAACAACCUACACAGAUCUGGAAACACAGUGCUGCACUUGGGGGAGAAAAAUUGCAUCUGUGGACUGCUGUCCCUGCCAGAUUACAGGAGUUUAUUACUCUUAGGGGAAAGCUUAAUAGUCUGUUAAUUGAGAAGACAGAAGAUCUUUUACACUUGGCUGCACACUAUUAUUAG
This 354-nucleotide long non-coding RNA is filed under the name Meleagris gallopavo (turkey). Its description in RNAcentral is "lncRNA (ENSMGAG00000022312.1)". The record is from RNAcentral. Lineage: Eukaryota; Metazoa; Chordata; Aves; Galliformes; Phasianidae.